GAUGAGCGCUGGCGGCGUGCCUAAUACAUGCAGGUCGAACGGGGAGUCGCAAUACUCUUAGUGGCGAACGGGUGAGUAACGCGUUGGUACCUGCCCCGAAGCGGGGGAUAACGGACCGAAAGGUCCGCUAAUACCCCAUGUGCUCGGUAACGAGUAAAGGUGAAAACCACUUUGGGAGGGGCCUGCGUCCCAUCAGCUAGUUGGUAAGGUAACGGCUUACCAAGGCGAUGACGGGUAGGGGACCUGAGAGGGUGGCCCCCCACAAUGGAACUGAAACACGGUCCAUACACCUACGGGUGGCAGCAGUAGGGAAUAUUGGUAAUGGGCGCAAGCCUGAACCAGCAACGCCGCGUGUGCGAUGACGGCCUUCGGGUUGUAAAGCACUUUUGACGGGGACGAGGAAGGACGGUACCGGUCGAAUCAGCCUCGGCUAACUACGUG
Molecule: ribosomal RNA, 441 nt
Filed under: uncultured bacterium
Lineage: Bacteria
Description: partial 16S ribosomal RNA
Rfam family: Bacterial small subunit ribosomal RNA
Source: RNAcentral